AAACCUCAAUAAAACAAAAAACUAAAUAAAACAAACAAAAUAAAAAUCUAAACAAAACACUAAACAAAUGAAACAAACAAAAACAAAACAAAAGAACACUGAAGAACACUGUGAAGUGAUUUCGAGAGGGGCAGGGCUCUGAGAGCUCAAUAAUGAGAAACAACUCAGUUCUUCCUUUUUAUGGUGGCUCUUAUAAAUGUGCUUUGUCUCCCUAGGGACAAACCUGUUUGGUUAACACGUGUGACUCUGCAAACCUCUUUGUGAACUCCCAAGCAGAGGGGAUACCACACACACGGGAAAGAGCAGUCAUGACCUGGGUUACAAGGACCCUCAAUUACUUGCUGCAGUGCAUACCGGGGUUACAGCGCAGUGGGGAGGGAUUCUUUGGUGUGUUAUUUUGCCAGCAUUUCCCAAAGUCACAUUCCCAAGUGUCAAACACUUAACACUUCGUUUUUUAACAUUUCAGAGAUAUCAGAAGAUUGUCAGUUAAUGCCACUGCAAAUACAAUAUUAUAUUGUAUAGCAUUAUUGUAUUUAUUAUUAAAGUGUAUUGUGUAUUGUCUCUAAAGGGGUCAUAUGAUGCGAUUUCUAUUUUUCCUUUUCUUUAGUGUGCUGUGUAGCUAUUUGUGCAUGGAUGAGAUCUGCAGAGUUACAAAGCUCAAAGUCUCCCACAAAAGGAUUUAUUCUAUCUAAAAGAGAAGGCUGAUCCAGACCGGGCUAAAACACCUCAUUCAAACACGCCCCACAUGUCUACGUCACGAUGUGGAAAUAUUCGCAUAAGGCCGCCCAAAUGUUCAUGCAAAGAAUGUAGGUGUGGUUUCAGGAACCGCNAUCUUUAAAAUAGCAUCAUAUGACCACUUUAAGAAUACUAAUUGGUGAUAAAUUUAGGUUCCAGUAAACCGGGUUAGUAAAGCUGUUAAAUACUGAUAAUGGAUAACACUAAGGUGUCAUUUGUAUCCAAAAUGCAGUAUUAAAUUACCGGUCAAAAGUUCAGAAUAAUUAAUAUUUUAAAAAGUUUUGGUCUUUAAUGCACACCAAGGCUAUAUUUAUUUGAAUAAGAAAAUACAGUAAAAACAGGAAUAUUGUGAAAUAUUAUUACAAUUUGAAAAUGUAAUUUAUUCCUGUGACGGCAAAGCCUUUAGUGUCAC
Long non-coding RNA from Cyprinus carpio (common carp), 1147 nucleotides. Lineage: Eukaryota; Metazoa; Chordata; Actinopteri; Cypriniformes; Cyprinidae. The record is from Ensembl.